Molecule: ribosomal RNA, 623 nt
Filed under: uncultured bacterium
Lineage: Bacteria
Description: bacterial SSU rRNA
Rfam family: Bacterial small subunit ribosomal RNA
Source: RNAcentral
CCUACGGGAGGCAGCAGUGGGGAAUUUUGGGCAAUGGGCGAAAGCCUGAUCCAGCAAUGCCGCGUGAGUGAAGAAGGCCUUCGGGUUGUAAAGCUCUUUUGUCAGGGAAGAAACGGUGAGGGCUAAUAUCUCUUGCUAAUGACGGUACCUGAAGAAUAAGCACCGGCUAACUACGUGCCAGCAGCCGCGGUAAUACGUAGGGUGCAAGCGUUAAUCGGAAUUACUGGGCGUAAAGCGUGCGCAGGCGGUUUUGUAAGUCUGUCGUGAAAUCCCCGGGCUCAACCUGGGAAUUGCGAUGGAGACUGCAAGGCUAGAAUCUGGCAGAGGGGGGUAGAAUUCCACGUGUAGCAGUGAAAUGCGUAGAGAUGUGGAGGAACACCGAUGGCGAAGGCAGCCCCCUGGGUCAAGAUUGACGCUCAUGCACGAAAGCGUGGGGAGCAAACAGGAUUAGAUACCCUGGUAGUCCACGCCCUAAACGAUGUCUACUAGUUGUCGGGUUUUAAUUAACUUGGUAACGCAGCUAACGCGUGAAGUAGACCGCCUGGGGAGUACGGUCGCAAGAUUAAAACUUCAAAUUGUUAGUAGAGGCGNGAGAGNGCGACGGACGACGACGAGGGAGGAGG